This 459-nucleotide ribosomal RNA is filed under the name uncultured bacterium. Its description in RNAcentral is "partial 16S ribosomal RNA". It matches the Rfam family "Bacterial small subunit ribosomal RNA", at positions 338 to 795 of the family's 1533-position model. The record is from RNAcentral.
CCUACGGGAGGCAACAGUGAGGAAUAUUGGUCAAUGGGCGCGAGCCUGAACCAGCCAAGUCGCGUGAGGGAAGACGGUCCUAUGGAUUGUAAACCUCUUUUGUCGGGGAGCAAAAGACGCCACGCGUGGCGUUCCGAGAGUACCCGACGAAAAAGCAUCGGCUAACUCCGUGCCAGCAGCCGCGGUAAUACGGAGGAUGCGAGCGUUAUCCGGAUUUAUUGGGUUUAAAGGGUGCGCAGGCGGAAGAUCAAGUCAGCGGUAAAAUUGAGGGGCUCAACCUCUUCGAGCCGUUGAAACUGGUUUUCUGGAGUGAGUGAGAAGUAGGCGGAAUGCGUGGUGUAGCGGUGAAAUGCAUAGAUAUCACGCAGAACUCCGAUUGCGAAGGCAGCAUACCGGCGCUCAACUGACGCUCAUGCACGAAAGUGUGGGUAUCGAACAGGAUUAGAUACCCGGGUAGUC